Molecule: ribosomal RNA, 108 nt
Filed under: Streptosporangium subroseum
Lineage: Bacteria; Bacillati; Actinomycetota; Actinomycetes; Streptosporangiales; Streptosporangiaceae
Description: 16S rRNA. Bacterial SSU
Rfam family: Bacterial small subunit ribosomal RNA
Source: RNAcentral
AUUGUUUGGAGAGUUUGAUCCUGGCUCAGGACGAACGCUGGCGGCGUGCUUAACACAUGCAAGUCGAGCGGAAAGGCCCUUCGGGGUACUCGAGCGGCGAACGGGUGA